This 158-nucleotide ribosomal RNA is filed under the name Didymocarpus megaphyllus. RNAcentral's name for it is "5.8S ribosomal RNA". It matches the Rfam family "5.8S ribosomal RNA". From Rfam's summary of the family: 5.8S ribosomal RNA (5.8S rRNA) is a component of the large subunit of the eukaryotic ribosome. It is transcribed by RNA polymerase I as part of the 45S precursor that also contains 18S and 28S rRNA. The record is from RNAcentral. Lineage: Eukaryota; Viridiplantae; Streptophyta; Magnoliopsida; Lamiales; Gesneriaceae.
ACUCUCGGCAACGGAUAUCUCGGCUCUUGCAUCGAUGAAGAACGUAGCGAAAUGCGAUACUUGGUGUGAAUUGCAGAAUCCCGUGAACCAUCGAGUCUUUGAACGCAAGUUGCGCCCGAAGCCAUCAGGUUGAGGGCACGUCUGCCUGGGCGUCACGC